RNAcentral lists this microRNA precursor (206 nucleotides) under Oryza nivara. Its description in RNAcentral is "MIR812 microRNA precursor family". It matches the Rfam family "MIR812 microRNA precursor family". The record is from Rfam by way of RNAcentral. Lineage: Eukaryota; Viridiplantae; Streptophyta; Magnoliopsida; Poales; Poaceae.
AAAAAGAUAAACCCUGGGUUUCCGUGUCCAACUUUGAUUGUCCGUUUUAUAUGAAAUUUUUUUAUAAUUCGUAUUUUUAUUGUUGUUAGAUGAUAAAAUAUGAUUAAUAUUUUAUGCGUGACUUGUCUUUUUAAUUUUUUUUUAUAAUUUUUUCAAAUAAGACGGACGGUCAAAUGUUGGGCACGGAAACCAGGGUUUGUCUUUUU